RNAcentral lists this unclassified non-coding RNA (249 nucleotides) under Hevea brasiliensis (rubber tree). Lineage: Eukaryota; Viridiplantae; Streptophyta; Magnoliopsida; Malpighiales; Euphorbiaceae. The record is from RNAcentral.
UUAGUAGGCUGUGAAAACUGACUUGGACUAUUGCCAAAUAAGAGCAAGAAGAACACAAAAACCAAUAAACAAAAGUAGCCUCUUCAGAUAAUAAUCUUGCUGUCCUUGCCCCUGGUGCUGAGGAUAUCCAUAUGCAUGGCCGCCAUGAAAAGAAUUAGAGAACCCAUAUGGAAAGCCAGCAGCCGCACCAUACAUGGCAGCAUCAGGAAAUCCAUACAACUGAAGGUUAAAAAGUGAAGGGAUGAGACC